GAAAUUUCGAGUUUGUACACCGCGGACUAACUGAUUUAAAGGGGCGUAAAGAAACACUCGACCCGUAAAACGCGACUAGUAAUGUCCUCUUUUUGGAGAGUCAGAAUAUGGUCACCUUAAACCAGGUCCAAGACCCUGUUGAAUCUUAAUUGUUGCCUGACACUGUUAAGACCUGAAAGUGGGAUUAAAGUCAAAUGAUGAGGAUUAUGAUGAUUGAGACAAACCUAUUGAAGAUCUGUUCUAUCUAACUGUUCAUCUGUUUGGGGGGUCACAGUGGUGUACCUGUGACAGGGGUAGUAGUCUGGAGCAUUAGUUGCUGCUUUAGAUCACAUGAUUGACAUCAGUCAUUUUGCAGUUAGACCAGUGCGCAUGCAGACAACAUGGUUGUGAUUGUAAAGUGCUAUCUUGGUUGGCCCUAGAACACAGGAACAUGGAUGUAAGACUGAUUGUGUUCCUUGUGUUGACAGGAUGAUAAUCAGUGUCAGAUAAUUUAAAUCAGUGUAGAUGAUUGGUUGGAUAAAUAAAUAACCUUUAGCGUGAGUGAUUCAACUAACUGAAUUCAUUUGCAUGAAUGGUCCAUCAUAGGUGAUGUAGCUGGUUACUGAUAAUCCUAUAAUUUAAAUCAGUGUAGAUGAUAUUGAUAAAGUGUAUCCCUUAUGUAACUGUGUGGCUAAAAAAAAUCCACUUGGGGCAAAAUUUAGCCAGUAAUUUCCAUGUAACUUUUUUUAUACUGCAGCAAAUGGGAUGAUUUUUUGGGCGGAUGCCUAUAAUGAUGGACACUUUGAAAAUAUGACUUCAAAAUUUUCACCAGGUCAAAAAUACAGGCUGGGCAAAUUUUCUAUUCUUUGUUUACGCUCAGUGGCUAAAAAAAGCCACUUACUUUGACUGCUGUAAAACAUAUUGGGUUAAUAUUCUUUUCUCCAUUUUUUUCAUAUAUCUCUUCAAGUAACUUCUGCUUUGAUCAAAACUAGUAAAUGUUUCAUCUAAAAAUAUUUUUUUUAACCCUUUGAGGGUCCAUUCAAAGCAUAAUGUCACUGAUAUGGUAGAAAAAUACACAAAAAUGACCUAUUUUCAUCAUAAAACAUAUUCAGAAACAGGUGAUUUUUUACAUGUUGCAUAGUCUUGGCCUUGUGAAGGAUUAGGAACCUCAGAAACUAUGAUACAUUUUGUGUAAUGUCUAAUUUUCAUAGAAACUUUCACAAAACACUCAUAAAAACACUUGCACUAUUCAUGUCUUUUCCAUACUCGCAUUCUCUUUCGGUACCAGCUUGGUCGUAAUGUGCUGAGCCAGAACUCAGCUGUGUGUGUGUGUGUGUGUGUGUGUGUGUGUGUGUGUGUGUGUGUGUGUGUGUGUGUGUGUUCAGUGUUUGAAGCAAGACCUGCAGGACAUCACUCUGUGUUCAUGCCAGAUGUGUUUCACACAUAACUCACAGGUUUUGUUAGUUCUUUUUGACACCAAAACCGUUCCCAGGUCCUCCACGAAAAGCCUCCUCCUGAAUCACUUUCUCCGGUUCCAGGAGAGAUCCACAUCUCACAGCGAGGCAGUAGAUUCACCCCUCGAACAAAACAGGCCAGACAAUGAAGAUGGAUCCUGUGGGGGGUCAGAUUCCAUCUCAUCAGAAUCAAUGACAAUUGCAAGGGCCUCCGUGGUGCUGAAGCUUCUCUUCAUGCUUUCUCUUGCUCUUCUCAUGAAAAAAUGGUCAUUAGAAUCUGCAAGUUGUGGAUUGCAGGACAGCUCACUUUUGUUUUUGUUUAUUUUUUUCCCCCUCUCUGUACUUCUGAGAGCUGAAGAACAUAGUUAACUUUUGUGGCGGGGUCAGUGCUGGGUCAUGACUUGCAGGCUCCUCCCCUCUCUCUCUCACAUGCACACACUCACAUGCACGCAUGCACACACGCACGCAAACACACAUUUUUUGGGGCUUCCGAUUUUGUCUGGCCUGUUUGGAAACACAUCUGGCAUGACCACAGAGAGAUCUCCUGCCGGUCUUGCUUCAAACAUUGAACACACAAACACACACACACACUCACUCACUCACUCACUCACUCACUCACUCACUCACUCACUCACUCAAACACACUUUUACAUUUUAUCUCUCUUUGCUCACUCAAUUUCUCACACAUUCGCUCUCUUAGGCUCCCCAGGUUUCUUUCAGUCCUCUCCACCGCUUCACCCUCAAAAGUUAGUCGUUUGUUCUGGUUUGAUACUCUGUUGUUGUGUAUUUAUGGCUUUUGUUUUAUUGCAUUUUGAGCGAUAAAAUAUGGUUUGGUUCUAAUGUUAACAUUGGUUACAUUUUUUCGUUUUUUCCUAAUAUUAGUGGGUGUAUGUUUUAAAUUGACCCUUAAAGGGUUAAAAUUUUGAUUUUUAAUGACACAUUUACUAGUUUUGAAUACAGCAGAAGUUAAUUAAGAGAUGUGUGAAAAAAAUCUAGAAAAAAUAUGAAUCCAAUAUGUUUUUACAGCGGUUAAUAUCAGUGAUUUUUUUUAGCCACUGAGCAUUAACAACUGAUCUAAAUCUAACGGUUUCACAAGGGUUAUGUAUGCUGUCAAACAAAAUAUAAUAUUGUUAGCUUUUGUUUUUUUAUUAAUCAACAUGUCUGAGAUCAAUUUUUAAAUUGAUUGUAUCUGUGUAAUUGAGUUUGUAAUUAAUCAGUCAUAUCCAUGAUUGACCUUUUAUAUUUAUUCUCAGGUGCUGAGGUGAAAACAGGCUGUGAACUAGCAAAGCCCAAGGUCAUGAAGACAUCUUUGGGCUCUGGAAAUCAAGAGGUACACUACAAUUUAGCAUAAAAUGUGUAUAAAUACACACAAGAUCAACUAUGCAUAUCCUCGGUCUUAAAACCUUGAUCUUUAAAUUAUUGAGGUAGUUCUAUAUUUAAUAGGCCUUGGUGUCUCAGCACAUACAGGAUAUUUAUGUCACAGCAGCCCAGCUUUCCUUUGUUGUCUUGUGUAAUGAAAGAAAAAGGGGAAUAGAUGUUCAAUUUGGUUCACCAUUGUAGUUAAAACUAUAUUUUCUGUUUUUUGCAGGCCCAGUAGCAUCUGCUUCGUCAUCUGGACAAGCUAAAAGAUCAUCACAAUGUCUGUGAACGGCGAUUUGAGAAGGCACAGGCUGAAAAGAUGCAAACGGAGAGGCAGAGCACAUUCGGUCCUGAAGGCUUGAACGAACUGGUAAGUUUGAAAAGGGGGUGUGUGAUAAUUUUUCAUUUAAUUGUCAGAUCAUAAGCUUGAUUUUAUAAUGUUUUUCUAAAUAGAAAAAAAUUUUUUUAUCCAAAAUUAGUAAAUGUAAAAAUAACUCAGAAUAGGAUCCGAUUAUUAGAUCAAUCUAUAUAUACAUAUCUUUAAAUUUACUGUAGCAUCCUGGUUGAUUUAUGGUCUGACUUUCCAACUGAUGUUUCACAAAGUUUUAUUUUUAAAAUGGUUCCUUUAAACUUCCAUCUUUGAACUUCCAUUAAAGAGUGUGAACACACCGCAAGAGCUAGCGAAAAAAAACAAUAGGAACAAUAUUAAUACACUUUCUGUAACAGAAAAUCGUUUGAUUAAAAUUAUAUAUUUUAUACACCUUCAAGAACAAUGAAAUCAACUUUCUUGUGUUAACUGUGUCAUCUGUGUUAACUGUAACCAUCAUCGUAACUGUAGCAUCUUUACUAGUACUCAGCAACACGAAACUCGAUCAAAUUUCAUAAAAACUCUUAAAAAGGCACUUCAUAUUAAUUUGUGUGAGAAAAGAAGCAUAUUCGAAUGUUGUGCCUCUAUCAACCAGGUACUUUAAACAACUUAAGAGAUCCUUAUUGACGAUUGUGAUCCUGACUUUUCAUAUCUUUUACUGUUCAUUGACUUCUAACUUCCGGUGAAAAUUCUUUCAAAAUAAGGGGAUCGGUCUCUGUUAUAUUACUCACAGGAAAUAAAAUAAUAGAAAAUAGGGAUUUUAACUUCAAAAUAAGACUGCUGAUACAAACACAUAAUGUGGGUCAUUUACAUUUAGAAUAGCAUGAAAAAGUUUAAUACUUUUUGUCACUUAUUUCAGAAAAUGAAACCUAGUCCCUCUUCUCUUUUUUGCUUUCCAUGACCCAGGUUCGGUGUCCACAGCUCAGAAUCAAGUCACACACCCUAAAUUUCACCUUUAGUGUGAGUGUUUCAACUAACUGAAUUCAUUUGCAUGAAAGGUCUAACAUUGGUGAUGUAGCUGGUUACUGAAAAUCAUAUCAUUAAAAUCAGUGUAGAUGAUAUUGGUAAAGAUGAGUAAGUAUCAAGGCAAUAACGUUUAGUUUUUAUCUCUGAUGAUCGUGCAUUUUUUAAAGUUUAUCCCUAAUGUAACGGUGUGGCUAAAAAAAGCCACUUGGGGCAAGAUUUAGACUUAAAAACAGGCAACUGGACUGUGUAGAGUUGAGAAGGCGUUUUGCCUCUUAUCCAAGAAGCUUCUUCAGUUCUAAAAUUGCUAGUGUGAGGAGCAGAUAUUUAUCUUACUGGAGAAGGGAACAGACAACGACUGGGAGGAGUUGGAAAGAAUGGGUCGUAGAAACCCAUAUCUGGGUGUCUCUCUUUCCAACCUUGCUUACCAACCUUGCUUACCUAACCUUUCAGGUUUGGUAAGCACACACACACAUGUUCACACACACACACACACACACACACACACACACACACAUUUGACUCCAGAGGUGGAAGAAGUGGCACUUAUUAUCUGACACUGAUUAUCAUCCUGUCAACACAAGGAACACAAUCAGUCUUACAUCCAUUGAUAAUAUGACUUCAAAAUUUUCACCAGGUCAAAAAUACGGGCUGGGCAAAUUUUCUAUUCUUUGUUUACACUCAGUGGCUAAAAAAGCCACUAACUUUGACUGCUGUAAAAAGAUAUUGGGUUAAUAUUUUUUUUCAGUUUUUUUCAUAUAUCUCUUAAGUAACUUCUGCUUUGAUCAAAACUAGUAAAUGUUUCAUAUAAAAACAUUUUUUUAACCCUUUGAGGGUCCAUUCAAAGCAUAAUGUCACUGAUAUGGUAGACAUAUACACAAAAAUGACCUAUUUUCAUCAUAAAGCAUAAUCAGAAACAGGUGAUUUUUUACAUGUUGCAUGGUCUUGGCCUUUUGAAGGAUUAGAAACCUCAGAAACUAUGAUACAUUUUGUGUAAUGUCUAAUUUUCAUAGAAACUUUCACAAAACACUCAUAAAACACUUGCACUAUUUAUGUCUUUUCUAUACUCGCAUUCUCUUUCGGUACCAGCUUGGUCGUAAUGUGCUGAGCCAGGACUCAGCUCUGUGUGUGUGUGUGUGUGUUCAGUGUUUGAAGCAAGACCUGCAGGACAUCACUCUGUGUUCAUGCCAGAUGUGUUUCACACAUAACUCACAGGUUUUGUUAGUUCUUUUUGACACCAAAGCUGUUCCCAGGUCCUCCACGAAAAGCCUCCUCCUGAAUCACUUUCUCCGGUUCCAGGAGAGAUCCACAUCUCACAGCAAGGCAGUAGAUUCACCCCUCGAACAAAACAGGGCAGACAAUGAAGAUGGAUCCUGUGGGGGGUCAGAUUCCAUCCCAUCAGAAUCAAUGACAAUUGCAAGGGCCUCCGUGGUGCUGAAGCUUCUCUUCAUGCUUUCUCUUGCUCUUCUCAUGAAAAAAUGGUCAUUAGAAUCUGCAAGUUGUGGAUUGCAGGACAGCUCACUUUUGUUUUUGUUUAUUUUUUUCCCCCUCUCUGUACUUCUGAGAGCUGAAGAACAUAGUUAACUUUUGUGGCGGGGUCAGUGCUGGGUCAUGACCUGCAGGCUCCUCCCCUCUCUCUCUCACAUGCACACACUCACAUGCACGCAUGCACACACGCACGCAAACACACAUUUUUUGGGGCUUCCGAUUUUGUCUGGCCUGUUUGGAAACACAUCUGGCAUGACCACAGAGAGAUCUCCUGCCGGUCUUGCUUCAAACAUUGAACACACAAACACACUCACUCACUCACUGACUCACUCACUCACUCACUCACUCACUCACUCACUCACUCACUCACUCACUCACUCACUCACUCACUCACUCACUCACUCACUCACUCACUCACUCACUCACUCACUCACUCACUCACUCACUCACUCACUCACUCACUCACUCACUCAAACACACUUUUACAUUUUAUCUCUCUUUGCUCACUCAAUUUCUCACACAUUCGCUCUCUUAGGCUCCCCAGGUUUCUUUCAGUCCUCUCCACCGCUUCACCCUCAAAAGUUAGUCGUUUGUUCUGGUUUGAUACUCUGUUGUUGUGUAUUUAUGGCUUUUGUUUUAUUGCAUUUUGAGCGAUAAAAUAUGGUUUGGUUCUAAUGUUAACAUUGGUUACAUUUUUUCGUUUUUUCCUAAUAUUAGUGGGUGUAUGUUUUAAAUUGACCCUUAAAGGGUUAAAAUUUUGAUUUUUAAUGACACAUUUACUAGUUUUGAAUACAGCAGAAGUUAAUUAAGAGAUGUGUGAAAAAAAUCUAGAAAAAAUAUGAAUCCAAUAUGUUUUUACAGCGGUUAAUAUCAGUGAUUUUUUUUAGCCACUGAGCAUUAACAACUGAUCUAAAUCUAACGGUUUCACAAGGGUUAUGUAUGCUGUCAAACAAAAUAUAAUAUUGUUAGCUUUUGUUUUUUUAUUAAUCAACAUGUCUGAGAUCAAUUUUUAAAUUGAUUGUAUCUGUGUAAUUGAGUUUGUAAUUAAUCAGUCAUAUCCAUGAUUGACCUUUUAUAUUUAUUCUCAGGUGCUGAGGUGAAAACAGGCUGUGAACUAGCAAAGCCCAAGGUCAUGAAGACAUCUUUGGGCUCUGGAAAUCAAGAGGUACACUACAAUUUAGCAUAAAAUGUGUAUAAAUACACACAAGAUCAACUAUGCAUAUCCUCGGUCUUAAAACCUUGAUCUUUAAAUUAUUGAGGUAGUUCUAUAUUUAAUAGGCCUUGGUGUCUCAGCAGCACAUACAGGAUAUUUAUGUCACAGCAGCCCAGCUUUCCUUUGUUGUCUUGUGUAAUGAAAGAAAAAGGGGAAUAGAUGUUCAAUUUGGUUCACCAUUGUAGUUAAAACUAUAUUUUCUGUUUUUUGCAGGCCCAGUAGCAUCUGCUUCGUCAUCUGGACAAGCUAAAAGAUCAUCACAAUGUCUGUGAACGGCGAUUUGAGAAGGCACAGGCUGAAAAGAUGCAAACGGAGAGGCAGAGCACAUUCGGUCCUGAAGGCUUGAACGAACUGGUAAGUUUGAAAAGGGGGUGUGUGAUAAUUUUUCAUUUAAUUGUCAGAUCAUAAGCUUGAUUUUAUAAUGUUUUUCUAAAUAGAAAAAAAUUUUUGUUAUCCAAAAUUAGUAAAUGUAAAAAUAACUCAGAAUAGGAUCCGAUUAUUAGAUCAAUCUAUAUAUACAUAUCUUUAAAUUUACUGUAGCAUCCUGGUUGAUUUAUGGUCUGACUUUCCAACUGAUGUUUCACAAAGUUUUAUUUUUAAAAUGGUUCCUUUAAACUUCCAUCUUUGAACUUCCAUUAAAGAGUGUGAACACACCGCAAGAGCUAGCGAAAAAAAACAAUAGGAACAAUAUUAAUACACUUUCUGUAACAGAAAAUCGUUUGAUUAAAAUUAUAUAUUUUAUACACCUUCAAGAACAAUGAAAUCAACUUUCUUGUGUUAACUGUGUCAUCUGUGUUAACUGUAACCAUCAUCGUAACUGUAGCAUCUUUACUAGUACUCAGCAACACGAAACUCGAUCAAAUUUCAUAAAAACUCUUAAAAAGGCACUUCAUAUUAAUUUGUGUGAGAAAAGAAGCAUAAUGUUGUGCCUCUAUCAACCAGGUACUUUACAACUUAAGAGAUCCUUAUUGACGAUUGUGAUCCUGACUUUUCAUAUCUUUUACUGUUCAUUGACUUCUAACUUCCGGUGAAAAUUCUUUCAAAAUAAGGGGAUCGGUCUCUGUUAUAUUACUCACAGGAAAUAAAAUAAUAGAAAAUAGGGAUUUUAACUUCAAAAUAAGACUGCUGAUACAAACACAUAAUGUGGGUCAUUUACAUUUAGAAUAGCAUGAAAAAGUUUAAUACUUUUUGUCACUUAUUUCAGAAAAUGAAACCUAGUCCCUUUUCUCUUUUUUGCUUUCCAUGACCCAGGUUCGCUCUACACUGCUCAGAAUCAAGUCACACACCCUAAAUUUCACCUUUAGUGUGAGUGUUUCAACUAACUGAAUUCAUUUGCAUGAAAGGUCUAACAUUGGUGAUGUAGCUGGUUACUGAAAAUCAUAUCAUUAAAAUCAGUGUAGAUGAUAUUGGUAAAGAUGAGUAAGUAUCAAGGCAAUAACGUUUAGUUUUUAUCUCUGAUGAUCGUGCAUUUUUUAAAGUUUAUCCCUAAUGUAACGGUGUGGCUAAAAAAAGCCACUUGGGGCAAGAUUUAGACUUAAAAACAGGCAACUGGACUGUGUAGAGUUGAGAAGGCGUUUUGCCUCUUAUCCAAGAAGCUUCUUCAGUUCUAAAAUUGCUAGUGUGAGGAGCAGAUAUUUAUCUUACUGGAGAAGGGAACAGACAACGACUGGGAGGAGUUGGAAAGAAUGGGUCGUAGAAACCCAUAUCUGGGUGUCUCUCUUUCCAACCUUGCUUACCAACCUUGCUUACCUAACCUUUCAGGUUUGGUAAGCACACACACACAUGUUCACACACACACACACACACACACACAUUUGACUCCAGAGGUGGAAGAAGUGGCACUUAUUAUCUGACACUGAUUAUCAUCCUGUCAACACAAGGAACACAAUCAGUCUUACAUCCAUUGAUAAUAUGACUUCAAAAUUUUCACCAGGUCAAAAAUACGGGCUGGGCAAAUUUUCUAUUCUUUGUUUACACUCAGUGGCUAAAAAAGCCACUAACUUUGACUGCUGUAAAAAGAUAUUGGGUUAAUAUUUUUUUUCAGUUUUUUUCAUAUAUCUCUUAAGUAACUUCUGCUUUGAUCAAAACUAGUAAAUGUUUCAUAUAAAAACAUUUUUUUAACCCUUUGAGGGUCCAUUCAAAGCAUAAUGUCACUGAUAUGGUAGACAUAUACACAAAAAUGACCUAUUUUCAUCAUAAAGCAUAAUCAGAAACAGGUGAUUUUUUACAUGUUGCAUGGUCUUGGCCUUUUGAAGGAUUAGAAACCUCAGAAACUAUGAUACAUUUUGUGUAAUGUCUAAUUUUCAUAGAAACUUUCACAAAACACUCAUAAAACACUUGCACUAUUUAUGUCUUUUCUAUACUCGCAUUCUCUUUCGGUACCAGCUUGGUCGUAAUGUGCUGAGCCAGGACUCAGCUCUGUGUGUGUGUGUGUGUGUUCAGUGUUUGAAGCAAGACCUGCAGGACAUCACUCUGUGUUCAUGCCAGAUGUGUUUCACACAUAACUCACAGGUUUUGUUAGUUCUUUUUGACACCAAAGCUGUUCCCAGGUCCUCCACGAAAAGCCUCCUCCUGAAUCACUUUCUCCGGUUCCAGGAGAGAUCCACAUCUCACAGCAAGGCAGUAGAUUCACCCCUCGAACAAAACAGGGCAGACAAUGAAGAUGGAUCCUGUGGGGGGUCAGAUUCCAUCCCAUCAGAAUCAAUGACAAUUGCAAGGGCCUCCGUGGUGCUGAAGCUUCUCUUCAUGCUUUCUCUUGCUCUUCUCAUGAAAAAAUGGUCAUUAGAAUCUGCAAGUUGUGGAUUGCAGGACAGCUCACUUUUGUUUUUGUUUAUUUUUUCCCCCUCUCUGUACUUCUGAGAGCUGAAGAACAUAGUUAACUUUUGUGGCGGGGUCAGUGCUGGGUCAUGACCUGCAGGCUCCUCCCCUCUCUCUCUCACAUGCACACACUCACAUGCACGCAUGCACACACGCACGCAAACACACAUUUUUUGGGGCUUCCGAUUUUGUCUGGCCUGUUUGGAAACACAUCUGGCAUGACCACAGAGAGAUCUCCUGCCGGUCUUGCUUCAAACAUUGAACACACAAACACACUCACUCACUCACUGACUCACUGACUCACUCACUGACUCACUCACUCACUCACUCACUCACUCACUCACUCACUCACUCACUCACUCACUCACUCACUCACUCACUCACUCACUCACUCACUCACUCACUCACUCACUCACUCACUCAAACACACUUUUACAUUUUAUCUCUCUUUGCUCACUCAAUUUCUCACACAUUCGCUCUCUUAGGCUCCCCAGGUUUCUUUCAGUCCUCUCCACCGCUUCACCCUCAAAAGUUAGUCGUUUGUUCUGGUUUGAUACUCUGUUGUUGUGUAUUUAUGGCUUUUGUUUUAUUGCAUUUUGAGCGAUAAAAUAUGGUUUGGUUCUAAUGUUAACAUUGGUUACAUUUUUUCGUUUUUUCCUAAUAUUAGUGGGUGUAUGUUUUAAAUUGACCCUUAAAGGGUUAAAAUUUAGAUUUUUAAUGACACAUUUACUAGUUUUGAAUACAGCAGAAGUUAAUUAAGAGAUGUGUGAAAAAAAUCUAGAAAAAAUAUGAAUCCAAUAUGUUUUUACAGCGGUUAAUAUCAGUGAUUUUUUUUAGCCACUGAGCAUUAACAACUGAUCUAAAUCUAACGGUUUCACAAGGGUUAUGUAUGCUGUCAAACAAAAUAUAAUAUUGUUAGCUUUUGUUUUUUUAUUAAUCAACAUGUCUGAGAUCAAUUUUUAAAUUGAUUGUAUCUGUGUAAUUGAGUUUGUAAUUAAUCAGUCAUAUCCAUGAUUGACCUUUUAUAUUUAUUCUCAGGUGCUGAGGUGAAAACAGGCUGUGAACUAGCAAAGCCCAAGGUCAUGAAGACAUCUUUGGGCUCUGGAAAUCAAGAGGUACACUACAAUUUAGCAUAAAAUGUGUAUAAAUACACACAAGAUCAACUAUGCAUAUCCUCGGUCUUAAAACCUUGAUCUUUAAAUUAUUGAGGUAGUUCUAUAUUUAAUAGGCCUUGGUGUCUCAGCACAUACAGGAUAUUUAUGUCACAGCAGCCCAGCUUUCCUUUGUUGUCUUGUGUAAUGAAAGAAAAAGGGGAAUAGAUGUUCAAUUUGGUUCACCAUUGUAGUUAAAACUAUAUUUUCUGUUUUUUGCAGGCCCAGUAGCAUCUGCUUCGUCAUCUGGACAAGCUAAAAGAUCAUCACAAUGUCUGUGAACGGCGAUUUGAGAAGGCACAGGCUGAAAAGAUGCAAACGGAGAGGCAGAGCACAUUCGGUCCUGAAGGCUUGAACGAACUGGUAAGUUUGAAAAGGGGGUGUGUGAUAAUUUUUCAUUUAAUUGUCAGAUCAUAAGCUUGAUUUUAUAAUGUUUUUCUAAAUAGAAAAAAAUGUUUUAGUUUUCCAAAAUUAGUAAAUAUAUACAUAUCUUUAAAUUUACUGUAGCAUCCUGGUUGAUUUAUGGUCUGACUCUCCAACUGAUGUUUCACAAAGUUUUAUUUUUAAAAUGGUUCCUUUAAACUUCCAUCUUUGAACUUCCAUUAAAGAGUGUGAACACACCGCAAGAGCUAGCGAAAAAAAACAAUAGGAACAAUAUUAAUACACUUUCUGUAACAGAAAAUCGUUUGAUUAAAAUUAUAUAUUUUAUACACCUUCAAGAACAAUGAAAUCAACUUUCUUGUGUUAACUGUGUCAUCUGUGUUAACUGUAACCAUCAUCGUAACUGUAGCAUCUUUACUAGUACUCAGCAACACGAAACUCGAUCAAAUUUCAUAAAAACUCUUAAAAAGGCACUUCAUAUUAAUUUGUGUGAGAAAAGAAGCAUAUUCGAAUGUUGUGCCUCUAUCAACCAGGUACUUUAAACAACUUAAGAGAUCCUUAUUGACGAUUGUGAUCCUGACUUUUCAUAUCUUUUACUGUUCAUUGACUUCUAACUUCCGGUGAAAAUUCUUUCAAAAUAAGGGGAAUGGUCUCUGUUAUAUUACUCACAGGAAAUAAAAUAAUAGAAAAUAGGGAUUUUAACUUCAAAAUAAGACUGCUGAUACAAACACAUAAUGUGGGUCAUUUACAUUUAGAAUAGCAUGAAAAAGUUUAAUACUUUUUGUCACUUAUUUCAGAAAAUGAAACCUAGUCCCUUUUCUCUUUUUUGCUUUCCAUGACCCAGGUUCGCUCUACACUGCUCAGAAUCAAGUCACACACCCUAAAUUUCACCUUUAGUGUGAGUGUUUCAACUAACUGAAUUCAUUUGCAUGAAAGGUCUAACAUUGGUGAUGUAGCUGGUUACUGAAAAUCAUAUCAUUAAAAUCAGUGUAGAUGAUAUUGGUAAAGAUGAGUAAGUAUCAAGGCAAUAACGUUUAGUUUUUAUCUCUGAUGAUCGUGCAUUUUUUAAAGUUUAUCCCUAAUGUAACGGUGUGGCUAAAAAAAGCCACUUGGGGCAAGAUUUAGACUUAAAAACAGGCAACUGGACUGUGUAGAGUUGAGAAGGCGUUUUGCCUCUUAUCCAAGAAGCUUCUUCAGUUCUAAAAUUGCUAGUGUGAGGAGCAGAUAUUUAUCUUACUGGAGAAGGGAACAGACAACGACUGGGAGGAGUUGGAAAGAAUGGGUCGUAGAAACCCAUAUCUGGGUGUCUCUCUUUCCAACCUUGCUUACCAACCUUGCUUACCUAACCUUUCAGGUUUGGUAAGCACACACACACAUGUUCACACACACACACACACACACACACAUUGACUCCAGAGGUGGAAGAAGUGGCACUUAUUAUCUGACACUGAUUAUCAUCCUGUCAACACAAGGAACACAAUCAGUCUUACAUCCAUUGAUAAUAUGACUUCAAAAUUUUCACCAGGUCAAAAAUACGGGCUGGGCAAAUUUUCUAUUCUUUGUUUACACUCAGUGGCUAAAAAAGCCACUAACUUUGACUGCUGUAAAAAGAUAUUGGGUUAAUAUUUUUUUUCAGUUUUUUUCAUAUAUCUCUUAAGUAACUUCUGCUUUGAUCAAAACUAGUAAAUGUUUCAUAUAAAAACAUUUUUUUAACCCUUUGAGGGUCCAUUCAAAGCAUAAUGUCACUGAUAUGGUAGACAUAUACACAAAAAUGACCUAUUUUCAUCAUAAAGCAUAAUCAGAAACAGGUGAUUUUUUACAUGUUGCAUGGUCUUGGCCUUUUGAAGGAUUAGAAACCUCAGAAACUAUGAUACAUUUUGUGUAAUGUCUAAUUUUCAUAGAAACUUUCACAAAACACUCAUAAAACACUUGCACUAUUUAUGUCUUUUCUAUACUCGCAUUCUCUUUCGGUACCAGCUUGGUCGUAAUGUGCUGAGCCAGGACUCAGCUCUGUGUGUGUGUGUGUGUGUUCAGUGUUUGAAGCAAGACCUGCAGGACAUCACUCUGUGUUCAUGCCAGAUGUGUUUCACACAUAACUCACAGGUUUUGUUAGUUCUUUUUGACACCAAAGCUGUUCCCAGGUCCUCCACGAAAAGCCUCCUCCUGAAUCACUUUCUCCGGUUCCAGGAGAGAUCCACAUCUCACAGCAAGGCAGUAGAUUCACCCCUCGAACAAAACAGGGCAGACAAUGAAGAUGGAUCCUGUGGGGGGUCAGAUUCCAUCCCAUCAGAAUCAAUGACAAUUGCAAGGGCCUCCGUGGUGCUGAAGCUUCUCUUCAUGCUUUCUCUUGCUCUUCUCAUGAAAAAAUGGUCAUUAGAAUCUGCAAGUUGUGGAUUGCAGGACAGCUCACUUUUGUUUUUGUUUAUUUUUUCCCCCUCUCUGUACUUCUGAGAGCUGAAGAACAUAGUUAACUUUUGUGGCGGGGUCAGUGCUGGGUCAUGACCUGCAGGCUCCUCCCCUCUCUCUCUCACAUGCACACACUCACAUGCACGCAUGCACACACGCACGCAAACACACAUUUUUUGGGGCUUCCGAUUUUGUCUGGCCUGUUUGGAAACACAUCUGGCAUGACCACAGAGAGAUCUCCUGCCGGUCUUGCUUCAAACAUUGAACACACAAACACACACACUCACUCACUCACUCACUCACUCACUCACUCACUCACUCACUCACUCACUCACUCACUCACUCACUCACUCACUCACUCACUCACUCACUCACUCAAACACACUUUUACAUUUUAUCUCUCUUUGCUCACUCAAUUUCUCACACAUUCGCUCUCUUAGGCUCCCCAGGUUUCUUUCAGUCCUCUCCACCGCUUCACCCUCAAAAGUUAGUCGUUUGUUCUGGUUUGAUACUCUGUUGUUGUGUAUUUAUGGCUUUUGUUUUAUUGCAUUUUGAGCGAUAAAAUAUGGUUUGGUUCUAAUGUUAACAUUGGUUACAUUUUUUCGUUUUUUCCUAAUAUUAGUGGGUGUAUGUUUUAAAUUGACCCUUAAAGGGUUAAAAUUUUGAUUUUUAAUGACACAUUUACUAGUUUUGAAUACAGCAGAAGUUAAUUAAGAGAUGUGUGAAAAAAAUCUAGAAAAAAUAUGAAUCCAAUAUGUUUUUACAGCGGUUAAUAUCAGUGAUUUUUUUUAGCCACUGAGCAUUAACAACUGAUCUAAAUCUAACGGUUUCACAAGGGUUAUGUAUGCUGUCAAACAAAAUAUAAUAUUGUUAGCUUUUGUUUUUUUAUUAAUCAACAUGUCUGAGAUCAAUUUUUAAAUUGAUUGUAUCUGUGUAAUUGAGUUUGUAAUUAAUCAGUCAUAUCCAUGAUUGACCUUUUAUAUUUAUUCUCAGGUGCUGAGGUGAAAACAGGCUGUGAACUAGCAAAGCCCAAGGUCAUGAAGACAUCUUUGGGCUCUGGAAAUCAAGAGGUACACUACAAUUUAGCAUAAAAUGUGUAUAAAUACACACAAGAUCAACUAUGCAUAUCCUCGGUCUUAAAACCUUGAUCUUUAAAUUAUUGAGGUAGUUCUAUAUUUAAUAGGCCUUGGUGUCUCAGCACAUACAGGAUAUUUAUGUCACAGCAGCCCAGCUUUCCUUUGUUGUCUUGUGUAAUGAAAGAAAAAGGGGAAUAGAUGUUCAAUUUGGUUCACCAUUGUAGUUAAAACUAUAUUUUCUGUUUUUUGCAGGCCCAGUAGCAUCUGCUUCGUCAUCUGGACAAGCUAAAAGAUCAUCACAAUGUCUGUGAACGGCGAUUUGAGAAGGCACAGGCUGAAAAGAUGCAAACGGAGAGGCAGAGCACAUUCGGUCCUGAAGGCUUGAACGAACUGGUAAGUUUGAAAAGGGGGUGUGUGAUAAUUUUUCAUUUAAUUGUCAGAUCAUAAGCUUGAUUUUAAAAUGUUUUUCUAAAUAGAAAAAAAAUUUUUGUUAUCCAAAAUUAGUAAAUGUAAAAAUAACUCAGAAUAGGAUCCGAUUAUUAGAUCAAUCUAUAUAUACAUAUCUUUAAAUUUACUGUAGCAUCCUGGUUGAUUUAUGGUCUGACUUUCCAACUGAUGUUUCACAAAGUUUUAUUUUUAAAAUGGUUCCUUUAAACUUCCAUCUUUGAACUUCCAUUAAAGAGUGUGAACACACCGCAAGAGCUAGCGAAAAAACAAUAGGAACAAUAUUAAUACACUUUCUGUCACAGAAAAUCGUUUGAUUAAAAUUAUAUAUUUUAUACACCUUCAAGAACAAUGAAAUCAACUUUCUUGUGUUAACUGUGUCAUCUGUGUUAACUGUAACCAUCAUCGUAACUGUAGCAUCUUUACUAGUACUCAGCAACACGAAACUCGAUCAAAUUUCAUAAAAACUCUUAAAAAGGCACUUCAUAUUAAUUUGUGUGAGAAAAGAAGCAUAUGUUGUGCCUCUAUCAACCAGGUACUUUACAACUUAAGAGAUCCUUAUUGACGAUUGUGAUCCUGACUUUUCAUAUCUUUUACUGUUCAUUGACUUCUAACUUCCGGUGAAAAUUCUUUCAAAAUAAGGGGAUCGGUCUCUGUUAUAUUACUCACAGGAAAUAAAAUAAUAGAAAAUAGGGAUUUUAACUUCAAAAUAAGACUGCUGAUACAAACACAUAAUGUGGGUCAUUUACAUUUAGAAUAGCAUGAAAAAGUUUAAUACUUUUUGUCACUUAUUUCAGAAAAUGAAACCUAGUCCCUUUUCUCUUUUUUGCUUUCCAUGACCCAGGUUCGCUCUACACUGCUCAGAAUCAAGUCACACACCCUAAAUUUAACCUUUAGUGUGAGUGUUUCAACUAACUGAAUUCAUUUGCAUGAAAGGUCUAACAUUGGUGAUGUAGCUGGUUACUGAAAAUCAUAUCAUUAAAAUCAGUGUAGAUGAUAUUGGUAAAGAUGAGUAAGUAUCAAGGCAAUAACGUUUAGUUUUUAUCUCUGAUGAUCGUGCAUUUUUUAAAGUUUAUCCCUAAUGUAACGGUGUGGCUAAAAAAAGCCACUUGGGGCAAGAUUUAGACUUAAAAACAGGCAACUGGACUGUGUAGAGUUGAGAAGGCGUUUUGCCUCUUAUCCAAGAAGCUUCUUCAGUUCUAAAAUUGCUAGUGUGAGGAGCAGAUAUUUAUCUUACUGGAGAAGGGAACAGACAACGACUGGGAGGAGUUGGAAAGAAUGGGUCGUAGAAACCCAUAUCUGGGUGUCUCUCUUUCCAACCUUGCUUACCAACCUUGCUUACCUAACCUUUCAGGUUUGGUAAGCACACACACACAUGUUCACACACACACACACACACACACACACACACACACACACACACACACACACACACACACACACACACCACCUUCUUCUUUUGUUGAUGUAUUUUGAGCAAUAAAAUAUGGUUGUGUUCCAAUCUUAUAUUGUUUGUUACACACACACUCACACAUGCACGCACACACAUGCAUGCACGUGCACACAAAUGCACGCACGUGCACACAAACACACACUGAAUUCUGUCUCACACAUGACUACCACCUGCAGUCAGUGAAAGAGAAUGCUCUGAUGUUAGUAUAGGGAAUGCACUUAUAAAACCACUUAAUCAAUGCAGUUUUUAUGAAAAUCUGUUACACAAAAAUGUACCAAACAUUCUGAUGUUUCUAAUCCUCCACAUGCCCAAGCCUAUGCACCUUGUAAAAAAUCACCAGCUUCGGAUUAUGUUUUAUUAAAAAAAUAGGUCAUUUUCCUUCCUUUUUUUUUUUUUGCUUUAUAAGUGACUUUAGAUCUCAAAUGGGCCCUUAAAGGGUUAAAAUUUUUAUUUUCAAUGAAACGUUUGCUAGUUUUGAACAGGGCAGAAGUAAAAUAGCAGAUGUAUGAAAAAAAUCUGAAAAAAAUAUUAAUCCAAUAUAUUUUACAACAGACAAAGUAGUUUUGGCCACUGAGGGGCGCCAAAGGGAGUUUUUUAUUAAACCUGAUGCUACAGAAAAACUGAAAAGGGAAUAAAUUCAAUGAUAUUACUAAUCUUUGACAUAUUCAAGACUUUGAUUACCUGCGGGAGAUCACCAGUUUCUGAUGAUGUUUUUUGAUGUUUAUGUCUGAUUAAAUAUUGGCCACUGAGAGGCACUAAAGGGACAGAAUUUGUCCUGGCUUUAGUAUUGACCCGGUGAAAAUUUUGAAUUCAUGUUUUCAAAGAGUAUGUCAAAUUGAGCAUAAAAAAAAACUCACCAAUACAAACUACGAUCAUAACAACAAGCCAACACAUCAAAAGAACACUUAAACAACAGCUAAACACAGGGGGUAACAAACUCAACAGAUGCAUGCCAAAACACAUGCUCAAAAACCUUCAAACUCGCCAAAACAAACAAUGAUCAUAACAAGAAGCCAAAAUCUUUAAAAGAACACUACAACAACAACUAAACACAAGGGAUUACUAAUUCAACACAUACAUGCCAUAACUCAUGCUCAAAAACCUUCAAACUCUCUAAAAUAAACAAUGUGCAUAACAACAAGCCAAAGUCAUCAAAAUAACACUAAAACAACAGCUUAACGCAUUCAUGCGUUAAGCUGCUCAAAAACCUUCAAAUUUGCCAAAACGAACAAUGUUCAUAACAACAAGCCAAACUCAUCAAAAGAACACUAAAAAAACUGCUUAACGCAUUCACAUGCUCAAAAACCUUCAAAUUCGCCAAAACGAACAAUGUUCAUAACAACAAGCCAGACUCAUCAAAAAAACACUAAAACAGCAGCUUAACACAAGGGUUAACAAAUUCAACACAUUCAUGCCAUUACACUUGCUCAAAAACCUUUAAACUCGCCACGACAAACAAUGUUCAUAACAACAAGCCAAACUCUUUCAAAGAACACUUAAAAUACAUCUUCACACAAGGGAUUACUAAUUCAACACACUCAUGCCAUUACACAUGCUCAAAAACCUUCAAACUCACUAAAAAGAACAUAGUUCAUAACAAAAAGCAAAACUCAUCAAAGAACACAAAAACAAAAGCUUAACACAUUCAUGCCAUUACAUAUGCUCAAAAACCUUCAAACUCGCCAAAAUAAACAAUGCUCAUAACAACAAGCCAAACUCAUCAAAAGAACACUUAAACAACAGCUUAACGCAUUCAUGCCAUUAGACAUGCUCAAAAACCUUCAAACUUGCCAAAGCAAACAAUGCUCAUAACAACAAGCCAAACUCAUCAAAACAACACUAAAACAACAGCUUAACACAAGGGAUUACUAAUUCAACACAUUCAUGCCAUUACACAUGCUCAAAAACCUUCAAACUGGCCAAAACGAACAAUGUUCAUAACAACAAGCCAAACUCAUCAAAAGAACACUAAAACAACAGCUUAACGCAUUCAUGCCAUUACACAUGCUCAAAAACGUUCAAACUCGCCAAAACAAACACUUUUCAUAACAACAAGCCAAACUCAUCAAAAGAACACUAAAACAACAGCUUAACGCAUUCAUGCCAUUACACAUGCUCAAAAACCUUCAAACUCGCCAAAACAAACACUUUUCAUAACAACAAGCCAAACUCAUCAAAAGAACACUAAAACAACAGCUUAACGCAUUCAUGCCAUUACACAUGCUCAAAAACCGUUCAAACUCGCCAAAACAAACACUUUUCAUAACAACAAGCCAAACUCAUCAAAAGAACACUAAAACAACAGCUUAACGCAUUCAUGCCAUUACACAUGCUCAAAAACGUUCAAACUCGCCAAAACAAACACUUUUCAUAACAACAAGCCAAACUCAUCAAAAGAACACUAAAACAACAGCUUAACGCAUUCAUGCCAUUACACAUGCUCAAAAACGUUCAAACUCGCCAAAACAAACACUUUUCAUAACAACAAGCCAAACUCAUCAAAAGAACACUAAAACAACAGCUUAACGCAUUCAUGCCAUUACACAUGCUCAAAAACGUUCAAACUCGCCAAAACAAACACUUUUCAUAACAACAAGCCAAACUCAUCAAAAGAACACUAAAACAACAGCUUAACGCAUUCAUGCCAUUACACAUGCUCAAAAACGUUCAAACUCGCCAAAACAAACACUUUUCAUAACAACAAGCCAAACUCAUCAAAAGAACACUAAAACAACAGCUUAACGCAUUCAUGCCAUUACACAUGCUCAAAAACGUUCAAACUCGCCAAAACAAACACUUUUCAUAACAACAAGCCAAACUCAUCAAAAGAACACUAAAACAACAGCUUAACGGAUUCAUGCCAUUACACAUGCUCAAAAACGUCAAAACUCGCCAAAACAAACACUUUUCAUAACAACAAGCCAAACUCAUCAAAAGAACACUAAAACAACAGCUUAACGCAUUCAUGCCAUUACACAUGCUCAAAAACGUUCAAACUCGCCAAAACAAACACUUUUCAUAACAACAAGCCAAACUCAUCAAAAGAAAACUAAAACAACGGCAUAACACAAGGGAUUACUAAUUCAACACAUUCAUGCCAUUACACAUGCUCAAAAACCUUCAAACUGGCCAAAACGAACAAUGUUCAUAACAACAAGCCAAACUCAUCAAAAGAACACUAAAACAACAGCUUAACGCAUUCAUGCCAUUACACAUGCUCAGAAACGUUCAAACUUGCCAAAACAAACACUUUUCAUAAUAACAAGCCAAACUCAUCAAAAGAACACUAAAACAACAACUUAACGGAUUCAUGCCAUUACACAUGCACAAAAACGUUCGAACUUGCCAAAACAAACACUUUUCAUAACAACAAGCCAAACUCAUCAAAAGAACACUAAAACAACAGCUUAACGCAUUCAUGCCAUUACACAUGCUCAAAAACGUUCAAACUCGCCAAAACAAACACUUUUCAUAACAACAAGCCAAACUCAUCAAAAGAACACUAAAACAACAGCUUAACGCAUUCAUGCCAUUACACAUGCUCAAAAACGUUCAAACUCGCCAAAACAAACACUUUUCAUAACAACAAGCCAAACUCAUCAAAAGAACACUAAAACAACAGCUUAACGCAUUCAUGCCAUUACACAUGCUCAAAAACGUCAAAACUCGCCAAAACAAACACUUUUCAUAACAACAAGCCAAACUCAUCAAAAGAACACUAAAACAACGGCUUAACAACAAGGGAUUACUAAUUCAACACAUUCAUGCCAUUACACAUGCUCAAAAACGUUCAAA
RNAcentral lists this long non-coding RNA (20346 nucleotides) under Xyrichtys novacula (pearly razorfish). Lineage: Eukaryota; Metazoa; Chordata; Actinopteri; Labriformes; Labridae. The record is from RNAcentral.